UUAGUGCGGUUUUCACAUAUAAGUGGAAGGGCGAGGACAUGGCCCGAAUGCUGGAUGACAUGACCAGGAGGGUGAUGGUAAAAAUCACAAUAGCCAGUCAUUGCACCAGGCCAUACGGUAACAUUAACAGAACUUCAGUAUUGUUCGUAAGCAUAUCUUUCAUAGUGCUUAUGGUCAUAUCAUUGGCAUGGCUUGUAUUCUACUACAUACAAAGGUUCCGAUAUAUACACGCUAAAGACCAACUUUCGAGACGAUUAUGUAAUGCGGCCAAAAAAGCGUUGUCCAAGAUACCUACCAAGCACAUCAAAAUGGAUGACAAGGAGAUCGUCGGUGACGGUGACUGUUGUGCAGUGUGCAUUGAACCAUACAGACCUUCUGAAGUAGUUCGGAUAUUACCAUGCCGACAUGAAUUCCACAAAAGCUGUGUAGAUCCUUGGCUGUUAGAGCACCGAACUUGCCCAAUGUGCAAAAUGGACAUACUCAAACACUAUGGGUUUUUGUUCACAGGCAGUCAAGAGAGUUUCCUGCACGUAGAAGUCGAAGAGGUGACCAACGAUUUCGACGUAUACCAGUACGCACGUGGUCGGAGUUUCAUGGACACGGCGCAAAACUCGAGAACGAUACCGGACGUGGCCGCGGUGGCAGUGGCCGCUGCGACGGCGGUCGUGUGCGAAUCGCCCGACAGUAGGUCGUCGACGCCCGACGAACUGACGCCCGCGCUGGCCCAACUCAACGACGACGGCGGCGGCGGCGGCAACGGCAACGGCGACGGCAGUGGCGACGGCCGUACAGACGCCGCCGCCGUCGCCGCCACCACCAACUGUACAACGGUCGCCGCCGGCACCAACCGAUCGACGUCAUUCGAAGAGCAGCCUCCGGUCCACUCUGUUAGCAUACCUACGACAGCUAAAUAGUCUGACGACGGCCGACGCACUCACAAUCACAACUGUAUAUUUUAUUGAAUAACUUUAUUUGUUAUUUUUACAAUAUACAUCUAUUUCGCAAGACCAUUUCUGGAUAGCGUGUAUUUGUGUGCGUGUGUGCUCGGUAUAUACCACAGGAAUCCAAAACAAUAAUCGACUCUGAUUGGUGGCACAGCCGACUAGGUCCACUGCGGCAGACGCGUUCUUCAGAUGGUUUCUGAAACAUCAAAACAACGAUUCAGGACGGAUGUGAUACUAGCCAUUAAGAUGACUUAAACUUUGUAAUAGAAUGUAUCUUCAGUUUAAGUCUUAUUAUUAUAGAUAUUAGGAUUAGGUAUAAAAAAAAUUAUAUUAUAUAAUUUAACGAAAUUGACUUUUCAAUUUAAGUUAUUAAAACCGUAUGAAUAUACCUAGUCAGUAUUCCUAUAAUAUAAUAUAGCCCUCUGAUGAUGACUGGAUUUAAAUGUGAACGGUACUUUUUGUAACUAUUUUAUAGAUAAAAAUGUAUAAUUAUGUUAUUAUAUUAUUUAAUAUUUACUAUUAAGAUAAUG
Melanaphis sacchari is the source of this 1474-nucleotide RNA transcript. It is a transcript of the gene named protein goliath-like, with no coding region annotated. Lineage: Eukaryota; Metazoa; Arthropoda; Insecta; Hemiptera; Aphididae. The record is from RefSeq and is a predicted model, not a curated record. The transcript has 8 exons.